Molecule: non-coding RNA, 21 nt
Filed under: Caenorhabditis elegans
Lineage: Eukaryota; Metazoa; Nematoda; Chromadorea; Rhabditida; Rhabditidae
Source: RNAcentral
UUCAUUCAGCUCACCAUCAGC